CCAGCUGUGAGGAUCCAUUCCAGCUGUGAGGAUCAGUGCUCUGUCCUGUGCUCACUGUGGGGUUUUUGGUUUUGUUUUGCUCAGCUCCUGGGACCCCAGGGAGGGCUCGGGGGGUGCAGCUGAGGCUGCCCUGCCCGUCCUGGCAGAUUUUGGGCAGGACGGAGCCUCGUCCCCAAAGCCAGCCCAUGACACCCCACAGCAGCGUCCCUGACCCCCAGGAUUCCUUUCUUUUCCCCAAAGAAACGAGUCCAUAACCCAGCUGGGCAGCAGCAGUGCCUCCAUCCCCGUGGGUUUGUCCCUUUUUGUGCCCAGUUCUGGCUGCUCUGUCACCUGUGUGUGCUGUGACCCCCAGAGCUGAGCAGCUUUGGUAGGAACCACACCCCAAACCUGCCCAGGCACCUCCAGCAGCCCCUGCCAGGUGGGCACGGGGGCACCUGCCCCACCUGGGCUGGUGUUUGUCCCAAAAGGGGACAGCUCAGAGCCCACCCCAACACCCAGUGACAGCCUGGGGGUGGCACUGGCUGGGCUUUAAUGUCCCCUCCAUCCCAAAGCUCUGGUUUGGGGUGGAUGGAGCGAACUCAGGAGGGAGCAGCUCCUUCAGGGACCCCUCCCCACUGCCACGGCUGCUCUGGGGCUGGUGGCACUGCUGUGGCUCUGUGUAUCCAUCCCCAAUGUUGGUGGCACUGCUGUGGUUCCAAAUGUCCAUCCCAGAGUUGGUGGCAUUGCCAUAGCUGCUCCAGGGUUGGUGGCACUGCUGUGGCUGCUCCAUGUCUCCAUCCCAGGGUUGGUGGCACUGCUGUGGUUCCAUGUGUCCAUCCCUGGGGUUGGUGGCACUGCUGUGGUUCCAAAUGUCCAUCCCUGGAGUUGGUGGCAUUGCCAUAGCUGCUCCAGGGUUGGUGGCACUGCUGUGGUUCCAUGUCUCCAUCCCAGGGUUGGUGGCACUGCUGUGGCUCUGUGUAUCCAUCCCCAGGGUUGGUGGCACUGCUGUGGUUCCAUGUGUCCAUCCCUGGGGUUGGUGGCACUGCCAUAGCUGUUCCAGGGUAGGUGGCACUGCUAUGGUUCCAUAUGUCCAUCCCAGGGUUGGUGGCACUGCUGUGGCUGCUCCAGGGUUGGUGGCACUGCCGUGGCAGCUCCAUGCGUCCAUCCCAGGGUUGGUGGCCCUGCCCCCUGGCUGUCCCCAGUGUCACAGGAGCUGUCCCAUCUCUCUCGUGCUGCACCAUUCGUACAGGUGACAAUAGUGCAUCCCGCCCGUCAGCUUCCCGAGUGGCGUUUUCUUUUCACACUUUUCUAUGGAGCCUUCGAACCCCACGUCCUUCACCACCAGGCUGUUUUGAUAGUUGUUCUCAGCCCCUCCAUGGCCAUCCUUCCCCAGCAUUCCCUACUUUUGGGGGCCUUCUAUCUUGUUAAAAAAAGAAAAAAACAAAAAAUCUUUUUACCGAGUGAAACAUCGACUCCACCUUUAUCCCCAUUCUCACUGGUGUAAAUACUGAUACUAACUGAGGAUUUUGACUUUGCAUUCUGUCAGAAUACUGUGUUCAAAUAAAAACUACAAAAAAAAAAAAAAAAAAAAAAAA
This is a long non-coding RNA of Melospiza georgiana, 1574 nucleotides long. RefSeq lists it as uncharacterized. The transcript has 2 exons. Lineage: Eukaryota; Metazoa; Chordata; Aves; Passeriformes; Passerellidae. The record is from RefSeq and is a predicted model, not a curated record.